CUCGGGCAUGUGCUUGAUGGAUUUUUGUAUAACAUGUGAUAACAUGUGAUCAUUGUCCAUACUUUUAUUUGUCUCCAGCCCUCCUGCUCUGAAAUGAUUACCGCAGGAGUAGCCAAGGAUUUCUUCCUGGCAGAAGUCUCUCACGUUCAGGGCUACUGGAGCUUUGGCUACAGGAGCUGAAUCUACAUGGGUAAACAAAAUGGAGGUAUGAACACUGGAAUCUAUCCAGGAUGCCAAAUUGUUAACACUUCUACCUGUUAAAAAUGCUUAAAUGAUGUAACAUCCAGCAUGUAAGGAAGAAUUGUAAAAGCUGCCUGAGAUCCCAUAUUAUUCACAAGAAGGCAUGCAGAAACUUAGCAGCAGCAAAUAUGUAUCUCAUCUGUUAACAGCUCUUGUGGUUAUGGAGAACUAGGAGGGUUCAUGCUUGAUGCUCUAUAGGGCCAAUAGCACAGCCCCUGCCCUCCUUCCCUUUCUGCCUCUUAUGAACAUCUCAUGCUAAGCCUCACCCCUACUCCCUCUGUGGCCAUGUUACCACAUAAUAAGCAUACACUUGUAGAUGAAAGUAAAUCAGAAAAACAUUUUCUGAAGCUGGAAAGAGUGUCUUUUUCUGACUUAGCUUUGUCCAUAGACCACUCUUUAUUUGCAGAUAAGAGCAAUCAUCCAGGAAGCCAAUCAGUGACGAGCAGCACAGUUUGAAUUCGUACACACACCCUUAAUCCAAAUUCACUUCCGUGAGGAGAUAAGCUUUCAGUAAGUUUACUAAUCAACCUGUAUGCAUGGAGAAGGCAGAACAGGAGGUGUAAUUUUGCUGCUCAGUUUAUUUUCCAUGAAAUAUGUUUAAUUUAAGUCAAAGGUAAAAUGAGAGAAGUUCUCCCAUACUAAUUUCCAUCAGAAACAUUUCUCUUUUAAUGAGCCAGCAUUUGUUGAUAAACACAGACAAAAACUGUAAAAAAAAAAAAAAAAAAAAAGUAAAAAAAAAAACAAAAAACGAACAAACAAAAAACCCUGAACACAUCAGUAUGGGUUGAUGUGCAAUACAUCUGACAAGCUUAGAGGCAAACCAUCCUGCAGCUAUCCUAAAUUUGGCUCUGUAGAGCCCAAUGAUGACACGUAGUUGGUCAUCAAAAGAAACUGAAUUCUUGUUAUGCUAUAAGGAAUCCUUAGUAAGCUCACCAGGAGAAUAUGUGGAGGCAGCUCGAUGUAGCCCAUCCCUUAGGAAGUUUGUGUUGUUCGGGAACUUUUCCAGAUUGUGAAACUGAGGCACAGUUCAAAAAGGAAGAGAUGGGUCUGUCAUCUGCAGUGAAAGUGCUCCGUAAGUCUGGGUCAUUCUCACAGGAAUUACCAUGUUUAUCAGACCUGGUUUGUCUUAUCAGUGCAUUGUUAGCAAUCUGAAUGAACACAGGAAAAUUCUUUUGGAUCAAUACCUUUUUGUGGUACUGUCCCUUUUGUCUUAAAUUGCAUGUGUUUUGAGGGACAGGAAUUUUCCAGCCUCAUGCAGAUCAUCUGCUUCUCCCCAGGUAGCUCCUGUCACUUACACUGACACCACGCACGUACUAAACCAAAUUCUUUCACCUUUGUUGUCAAGCUCACUCAUACAUGAUGAAAAAGACUUACGAUUGGACGUGGGCAGGAAGAAGGUGGACUCCAAUGCUAUAAAAGUUGUUCAAAAGCACUUGUUCAGUUAAAGAAUAUAUAAGUUUUGUCUGGUAGCACUUUGUCCUGGAUUCAGAAAUGCAAUGAUUUCAAACUGUAGUUGCUUCCUUAUAAUUAACCAAGCACAGAAGCUGAGCCCAUGAAAAUUGUACAGUAAACACUACUGCUUACUGGCAUAGUGGAAAGAACAAUGAGAGCGCAGAAUCCUAUGUUAAAGCCUAAGAACAACACAAUAUACUGUAUUUUGGGGGUGAUUCCAUUGUGCUGGUAUAUUUGAUUUAGGGAGAAAUAGAUGUUUUGGUCAACACAGAAACAAAUUCACCCCUGCCAUUAUGUUUGGGCUUUUCAGCUGUCCCAUGUAGUGUGUUUGCUGAAGUCUGCCUCAGCAGUUAGGCAGGAGGUUAGCUAUGCUGCAGCAGACCUGUGAAAAGCAAUUUAAUGAUUUAUUAGAUCUAUUGAAUACAGCUUUUGAAAAGCAAACAUAGCCCAUUGCAAGAACACCAUUAGUGGCACAUAGCAAUUUGCUUCACUAAUGUUCUCCUCUGACACCUCCCAAGGCAUGUCAAAAUAACACUACAGUAGCACUUGGUCACGCAGGCUGUACUCUCCUGAAAAAUAACACCAGGCCAAUCUAGGAUGAAGGAGAUGCAGUCAUCUCAUUUGCAGUGUGAAUACUUGAAGGGAGCCUCUGAUUUCAUGACUGAAUUUCAAACAACAGAUGAACUACAAAAUAGAGAUUGUCUUACAAGCCUCCACAUCUCCUUGUCAGGCCCAGCAAAAAAGGCCAGGUUACUUGAUUUAACUUCAGGCCUUGAGAUCUGCAGUGUUGUGAUGAAAAACAGGUCACAGAUAAGAUAAGCUGACAUUGAGCGACAUUGCUUCAAUUAGAGUAGAAAUUAUAAAGCUAGCAUUGGAAAAACAUGUGGCAGCUGGGUGAGGAGCACUAACACAGCACAAAAGCUGUGCUAAAUGUUCAGUUUGGCAAAGGUCCUGGACGUGCCUUUUGCAGCCAUGGUGUAUGUCAGAUCAUAUAUAGAAGGCAAGAUGAUGAAGUUUAACUUGGCUGAUCAUAUAGAAAUAUGCCAACAGUCAGGAACAUAUUGUUCAAACAGGGAAGAUGGACUUGAAUGUGCCCUAAUAAGCAUCAACAUGGCCCUUCUGACCUAUGUCACUGAAGCUCUUGUCUCUGGGCUACAAGUGAAUUCUGUUAAGAACCUCAAACAAAGCAAACUCUCUAGCCACCGGCUCCCC
Long non-coding RNA from Gallus gallus (chicken), 2904 nucleotides. Lineage: Eukaryota; Metazoa; Chordata; Aves; Galliformes; Phasianidae. The record is from Ensembl.